This 24-nucleotide non-coding RNA is filed under the name Mus musculus (house mouse). Lineage: Eukaryota; Metazoa; Chordata; Mammalia; Rodentia; Muridae. The record is from RNAcentral.
UGGAAGGUUGAACACACUUGCGCU